RNAcentral lists this small RNA (974 nucleotides) under Pan troglodytes (chimpanzee). RNAcentral describes it as "retained intron". Lineage: Eukaryota; Metazoa; Chordata; Mammalia; Primates; Hominidae. The record is from RNAcentral.
AUGCCGCGGCGGGCCUGUGGGAGCACGGUCACCUUCUCUCUGCUGCUGUAGCUGCCAUGGGCAAAAGAGACCGAGCGGACCGCGACAAGAAGAAAUCCAGGAAGCGGCACUAUGAGGAUGAAGAGGAUGAUGAAGAGGACGCCCCGGGGAACGACCCUCAGGAAGCGGUUCCUUCGGCGGCGGGGAAGCAGGUGGAUGAGUCAGGCACCAAAGUGGAUGAAUAUGGAGCCAAGGACUACAGGCUGCAAAUGCCGCUGAAGGACGACCACACCUCCAGGCCCCUCUGGGUGCUGUCAGCGUUGGGCUGCAAACCAGUGACAUCACCGAGUACCUCAGGAAGCUCAGCAAGACUGGAGUCCCUGAUGGAAUUAUGCAGUUUAUUAAGUUGUGUACUGUCAGCUAUGGAAAAGUCAAGCUGGUCUUGAAGCACAACAGGUAAGAGAUUCCGUGACAGGCCUGUCCCAAGGCACUGUCACUCUCUGUGCACCAGCAGGAAUAAAGGGAUAUGGGAAGGACCUGAUGUUUAUGCUGUCUUUUCUGUGAAGCACAGAUAAGAGGAGAGAAACAAGAGAUGUGGCCCAGACUGGAAACUCGUCCACUGGCCACUGUAUUUCCUCUAGCAGUGGAACUGGGCUCAGGCCCCUGCCUACUUGACCUCAAAGUGGGGCUUUGCCCACAACCCUCAUAUGUUAAAUCAUGGCCGGCAGCUCAUGGUACAGAUUUGGCGAAGGGUUGUGGGGAGAGUCAUGAGGCUUGUAUUUCCAGACCAUCUAAUUGAAUGAGCAGUGGAAUCUCCAGGAGGUACCUGCUGGUCAGUAGACCCCUUCUUCCUCCCCUGCUUGCAGAUACUUCGUUGAAAGUUCCCACCCUGAUGUAAUCCAGCAUCUUCUCCAGGACCCCGUGAUCCGAGAAUGCCGCUUAAGAAACUCUGAAGGGGAGGCCACUGAGCUCAUCACAGAGACUUUCACAAGCAA